CAAUAGCGUAUAUUAAAGUUGUUGCAGUUAAAAAGCUCGUAGUUGGAUUUGUGGCGUACGGUGUGUUCCGGGCACUUAUUGUCUGAGUAACCUGCUGUUGCCAUCCUUGGGUGGAACCUGUGUGGCAUUAGGUUGUCGUGCAGGGGAUGCCCAUCAUUUACUGUGAAAAAAUUAGAGUGUUCAAAGCAGGCUUAUGCCGUUGAAUAUAUUAGCAUGGAAUAAUGAGAUAGGACUUUUUUGCUAUUUUGUUGGUUUGCGCAAAGAGGUAAUGAUUAAUAGGGACAGUUGGGGGUAUUCGUAUUCCAUUGUCAGAGGUGAAAUUCUUGGAUUUUUGGAAGACGAACUACUGCGAAAGCAUUUACCAAGGAUGUUUUCAUUAA
Molecule: ribosomal RNA, 380 nt
Filed under: uncultured eukaryote
Lineage: Eukaryota
Description: partial 18S ribosomal RNA
Rfam family: Eukaryotic small subunit ribosomal RNA
Source: RNAcentral